This is a non-coding RNA of Heterocephalus glaber (naked mole-rat), 481 nucleotides long. The record is from RefSeq and is a predicted model, not a curated record. Lineage: Eukaryota; Metazoa; Chordata; Mammalia; Rodentia; Bathyergidae.
AGCACAGGGCAGCCAGUUGUGCAAGUGGUCGUCCUCUCUGAAGAGCCCUGCUGGCUGAUAAUGACUCACAGAUUGUCUCUUUGAAGAAGAAACAGUUUGGAUGAAAUGGAUAAAAAGAGAAAGAAAAUAUAUCCUUAAAAAAGAUCAGAAGUCCUGCUGGGCUCAUCAGGGUGUUCUGUUUCGGGAUUCCACAAGGUGGGAGCCAGGCUGAGCUGUUAUCUGAGUAGACACUUGGUCCAAGCCCACGAAGUUGUUGGCAGUUUUCAGGAAAGAAUGUUCCCCUGCACUCUUUGUGGAUGGAGGAACCUGCCUCUGCUUAGCCUUCACUUCAAGUUGACUCCAUGCCUGUGGAUUAUGUACCCUGGCCAUGACCACCCACCAACUAUAAGCCUGCUCUGUGUUUUAUUUCACUUCAAGAUAGAGCAACAGAGGCAUCAACCAAACAACCAACCUGAUCAUGGAAAAGCCCAGGGUCCCAGGA